Nicotiana tabacum (common tobacco) is the source of this 607-nucleotide long non-coding RNA. RefSeq lists it as uncharacterized. NCBI's taxonomy places the organism in Eukaryota, Viridiplantae, Streptophyta, Magnoliopsida, Solanales, Solanaceae. The record is from RefSeq and is a predicted model, not a curated record.
CCAGAAGCAGCGCACCCUACUGUUCCUUCAUCUUCCUCAGCUUUCAACUCGCCUUAACUCGUUUCCGAGUUCACUCACAUGGUCCCCUCCCUCUACGUCACCUUAUUUCCCAACGGAUUUGUCAGAAGAGUACGAAUAUUCUCUCAAAAUUGCACGAUUUCGGGUACGAAAGGACAAUUUGCUGGAUGAAUGGAACUCGUGGAUAGAUGUAAAUCGAUCCACGCCUUCCAUUUGUCCAAAAAAUUGUUCAAAAAAAAGACUCGAAGAUUUUCGGAUUUUGGGCAGAUUUUUCGAAGGCUAUAUAUAUGAGGUUAAAAUUUUUUGGAGAGGAUAGUUAAAGGAGCAUGAAGCCAAUGAAUGUAUUGAUUGAAAGUUAAGGACAUAGAACAAAGAAUUUGCCCUGGAAUAUGCUGCAUAUAAUGUUAAAGACAAGAUUAAUUUCAAGCAAUGACAAAGCUAAUAGCCAAGAAUGGUUCAUGAGCCUUGCUGUGUGUCACAUUAGUUGCAUAGCACCUUUCAUAUGUAGAUGUCGUUUUUUAGAGGUUUGGAAGUGAAUCCUUAUUCUUUGAUAAUUGUUUAAUGUGAAUGACAACAAUGCUUGCUCUUU